RNAcentral lists this ribosomal RNA (489 nucleotides) under uncultured bacterium. Its description in RNAcentral is "bacterial SSU rRNA". It matches the Rfam family "Bacterial small subunit ribosomal RNA", at positions 32 to 528 of the family's 1533-position model. The record is from RNAcentral.
AAUCAACGCUGGCGGCGUGCCUCAGACAUGCAAGUCGAACGAUUAAAGCUCUCUUCGGAGAGUGUAUAGAGUGGCGCACGGGUGAGUAACACGUAAGUAAUCUACCCUCGAGUGGGGAAUAACAACCGGAAACGGUUGCUAAUACCGCAUAAUGCAGCGGCACCGCAAGGUGACAGUUGUUAAAGAUUUAUCGCUUGAGGAGGAGCUUGCGGCAGAUUAGCUAGUUGGUAGGGUAACGGCUUACCAAGGCUACGAUCUGUAACCGGUCUAAGAGGACGGUCGGUCACACUGACACUGAAUAACGGGUCAGACUCCUACGGGAGGCAGCAGUCGGGAAUUUUGGGCAAUGGGCGAAAGCCUGACCCAGCAACGCCGCGUGAAGGAUGAAGUAUUUCGGUAUGUAAACUUCGAAAGAAUAGGAAGAAUUAAUGACGGUACUAUUUAUAAGGUCCGGCUAACUACGUGCCAGCAGCCGCGGUAAUGUAUCGU